This 552-nucleotide ribosomal RNA is filed under the name uncultured bacterium. RNAcentral describes it as "partial 16S ribosomal RNA". It matches the Rfam family "Bacterial small subunit ribosomal RNA", at positions 355 to 899 of the family's 1533-position model. The record is from RNAcentral.
UGGGGAAUUUUGGACAAUGGGGGAAACCCUGAUCCAGCCAUCCCGCGUGUGCGAUGAAGGCCUUCGGGUUGUAAAGCACUUUUGGCAGGAAAGAAACGUCGCGGGUUAAUACCCCGCGAAACUGACGGUACCUGCAGAAUAAGCACCGGCUAACUACGUGCCAGCAGCCGCGGUAAUACGUAGGGUGCAAGCGUUAAUCGGAAUUACUGGGCGUAAAGCGUGCGCAGGCGGUUCGGAAAGAAAGAUGUGAAAUCCCAGAGCUUAACUUUGGAACUGCAUUUUUUAACUACCGGGUUAGAGUGUGUCAGAGGGAGGUGGAAUUCCGCGUGUAGCAGUGAAAUGCGUAGAUAUGCGGAGGAACACCGAUGGCGAAGGCAGCCUCCUGGGAUAACACUGACGCUCAUGCACGAAAGCGUGGGGAGCAAACAGGAUUAGAUACCCUGGUAGUCCACGCCCUAAACGAUGUCAACUAGCUGUUGGGGCCUUCGGGCCUUGGUAGCGCAGCUAACGCGUGAAGUUGACCGCCUGGGGAGUACGGUCGCAAGAUUAAAA